This 253-nucleotide ribosomal RNA is filed under the name uncultured Bacillus sp. RNAcentral describes it as "partial 16S ribosomal RNA". It matches the Rfam family "Bacterial small subunit ribosomal RNA", at positions 524 to 776 of the family's 1533-position model. The record is from RNAcentral. Lineage: Bacteria; Bacillati; Bacillota; Bacilli; Caryophanales; Bacillaceae.
UACGUAGGUGGCAAGCGUUGUCCGGAAUUAUUGGGCGUAAAGCGCGCGCAGGUGGUUCUUUAAGUCUGAUGUGAAAGCCCCCGGCUCAACCGGGGAGGGUCAUUGGAAACUGGGAGACUUGAGUGCAGAAGAGAAGAGCGGAAUUCCACGUGUAGCGGUGAAAUGCGUAGAGAUGUGGAGGAACACCAGUGGCGAAGGCGACUUUCUGGGCUGUAACUGACGCUGAGGCGCGAAAGCAUGGGGAGCAAACAGG